This 3868-nucleotide long non-coding RNA is filed under the name Triticum aestivum (bread wheat). Its description in RNAcentral is "long non-coding RNA (TAES_LNC004102)". The record is from RNAcentral. Lineage: Eukaryota; Viridiplantae; Streptophyta; Magnoliopsida; Poales; Poaceae.
UUAGGAGUUAACUCACCUGGAGGGAAGAUUACAGUAGAGGCAAUGCGCAGAAAUCAACCAAUAAUAAUCCACAACACCAAAUUUUCAGCAGACCUGCAUGUUAUAGAGAUGUCAGGGUUAGAAAUAAUCCUUGGGAUGGAUUGGUUAGCUGCUAAUGGAGUGAAAGUAGAUUGUGAACUUAAAAGUGUAUCCAUAAGGAAGUCUGAUGGCUCUAGGCUGAUAUAUUUUGAAAGUAGAACCAGACCCAACAAUCCCUUAGUAAUGGUAGCAAGUGGACAAAAGAAAGAAAUAAAGGAUAUACCUGUAGUUUGUGAGUUUCCUGAUGUAUUUCCGGAUGAAGGGUAUGCCGCCUGAUAGGGAGUUAGAGUUCAGCAUUGUUUUAAUGCCUGGGGCAUCACCUAUCUCCAAAAGACCCUACAAAAUGUCACAGCCGGAGUUAGUGGAGCUAAAGAAACAAUUGGAUGAGCUGAAGGAAAAAGGAUUCAUUAGGGAAAGCAUGUCACCAUGGGGAGCACCGGUAUUAUUUGCAGAGAAAAAGGAUGGAGGGUUGAGGCUAUGCACAGAUUUUCGAGACCUUAACAAGGUAACUGUAAAGAAUAAGUAUCCAUUACCGAGAAUAAAUGAUUUAUUUGAUCAACUCAAGGGUGCAUGUGUCUUCUCAAAAAUUGACUUGAGAUCUGGAUAUCAUCAAAUGAAAGUGAAGGAAGAGGACAUUGAGAAGACGGCAUUUGUGUCUCGGUAUGGACACCAUGAGUACACUGUGGUUCCAUUCGGUCUAACUAAUGCCCCAGCUAUGUUCAUGAACUUGAUGAACAAAAUUUUCAUGCAAUAUCUGGACAAGUUUGUAGUGGUCUUUAUUGAUGACAUAUUAAUAUAUUCAAGAAGCAAGGAAGAGCAUGCUGAACACUUGAGGAUAGCACUUCAAAUCUUAAGAGAGAAUCAGUUGUAUGCAAAAUUUAGUAAGUGUGAGUUUUGGCUGGACCAAGUAGCUUUCUUGGGGCACGUAAUUUCAGGAAGAGGAGUUGAGGUUGACCCAUCAAAAAUUGAGACAGUUGUGUCUUGGGCUCGUCCGACCAAUCCAAGUGAGAUAAGGAGUUUCUUGGGCUUUGCAGGGUACUACCGCAGAUUUAUAAAAGGGUUUUCGCAGAUUACAGCACCAAUCACCAAAUUGCUUAGGAAAGAAGCUAAGUUUAUUUGGACUGAAGAGUGUGAGAGAAGUUUUCAGGAACUAAAGAAAAGGUUAACUACCGCACCAGUGUUGGCAUUACCUGAAAGUGGACAAGAUUAUGUGGUGUAUUGUGAUGCUUCAAAAUCUGGACUAGGAUGUGUUCUGAUGCAAAAUGAUAGAGUGAUAGCCUAUGCUUCUAGGCAAUUAAAGACACAUGAAGUAAAUUACCCUACCCAUGACUUGGAGUUGGGAGCUGUUGUGUUUGCACUGAAAAUAUGGAGGCACUACCUAUAUGGUUCUAAGUGCACACUGUACAGCGACCACAAGAGUCUCAAAUACAUAUUUACACAAAAAGAGUUGAACAUGAGGCAGAGGAGGUGGCUGGAACUAAUCAAGGAUUAUGAUCUGACAAUUAACUACCACCCUGGUAAGGCAAAUGUAGUGGCAGAUGCACUUAGUAGAAAGAAGCAAUGCAACCACAUAUCCAUUGAAGGGUAUGGCAAAGAGCUACUGCAGGAUCUUGCAAAGAUGGGAAUAGAGCUGAGAGAGGCCACAUCUAGUGCUAAUAUAGCAGCCAUGACAUUUCACCCCACAUUGCUAGAUCAGAUUAAGGAAAAGCAAGCAAUGGAUGCAUUCAUCAAGGAGAAAACGAGAAGAAUUCAAGCGGGACAGCCUUCACAAUUCAAGUUGGACCAGGAAGGAGUUCUUUGGAACCAUAUUAGGAUCUGUGUGCCAGAUGACCUACAGAUCAAGGAAAUUAUUUUGCAUGAAGCUCAUGACACUUUGUACACUAUCCAUCCUGGGAGCACGAAUAUGUAUAAGGAUGUGAAGGGAAAUUUUUGGUGGCCUGGUAUGAAAAGGGAAAUCGCAGAAUAUGUCAGCAAGUGCGACACUUGUCAGAGGGUAAAAGCAGAACAUCAAAGGCCUGCCGGGUUAUUAAAGCCACUAGAGACACCAGAUUGGAAAUGGGAAGAUCUAUGUAUGGAUUUUAUUACUGGUUUGCCUAUGACACCAAAAAAGAAGGAUGCUAUAUGGGUUGUGGUCGACCGACUCACUAAGUCAGCACACUUCAUUGCCACAAACCAGAAAUAUUCCUUUGAUAAGUUGGCUGAACUGUACUUAGAGAGGAUAGUUACCCUCCAUGGUGUGCCAAAGACCAUAACAUCUGACCGAGGUUCCGUGUUUACAUCAAGCUUUUGGAAGAGCCUACAGAAGUCUCUUGGAACUGAGCUACACUUUAGCACAGCUUAUCAUCCCCAAACCGAUGGCCAGACAGAGCGGGUAAAUCAGAUCCUUGAGGAUAUGUUGAGAGCAUGUGUAAUGAACUUUGGAGAAUCAUGGGAUAAGCAUCUACACUUAGCAAAAUUUGCCUACAAUAACAGUUAUCAAUCCAGCAUACAAAUGGCUCCAUAUGAGGCAUUGUAUGGGAGGAAAUGCAGAUCACCUAUAUGCUGGUAUGAAGUUGGAGAGAGACCAUUACUUGGUCCUGACAUAGUGAGAGAGAAUGAUGAGAAGAUCCAACUAAUCAAAGAACGACUACAGAUUGCACAAAAUAGGCAGAAGAGCUAUGCUGACCGGAAUAGGAGGGUUAUGAAAUUGGCAGUAGGAGACUUGGUUUAUCUAAAGGUAUCACCUAUGAGAGGGGUUCGACGCUUUGGAAUCAAAGGAAAGUUGAGUCCUAGAUAUGUUGGGCCAUUUAAAAUUUUGGAGGAGAAGGGAGCAUCUCCUUAUAAGUUGGAGUUACCGAAACGUUUAUCAAGAAUUCACAAUGUCUUCCACAUAUCUCAACUUAAGAAAUGCAACAAGCCACCACCACAAGUAUCAGACUUGGAGAUUGAAUUACAACCAGACCUGACGUAUGAAGAACGACCAUUGAAGAUCUUAGAAGUUGAAGACCGCAAGCUCAGGACAAGGACCAUUUGGUUCUGCAAAGUGCAAUGGAAGAACCACUCAGUUCGUGAGGCGACGUGGGAGAAGGAGGAAGACCUGCGAGUAACCUACCCCAACCUUUUUAAGUAAGUUUUCGAUUUCGAGGACGAAAUCUUUUUCUAAGGAGGGUAGGAUGUAACGACCCGUAUUUUUUUCACAUAGUAAUUCCACUCUUAACUAGAUAAUUAAGUAGAAUCCAUUAAGCAAAUACAUAUCAGAUUUCUUCAACAAGCAUCAUAACCACUCAAUUAUAUAUAUUUAUAUUCAUAAACCUCAGACAGUAUAGCUGUAAAAGUGUAUUACAAAUCUUUGGAAAAAAAUUUAGGGAGACCAUGCUAUGCUAAGCUAUACAGUUGGACCAACACAAAAUAUCUCUGGGUCAACCAGUACAGCAAGACACAUGGACCACCACCCUCACGUGCACCAUAUUAAUAGUCAAUUGGUCAGCAGUAUAGUCUAUGUAUGGGCUUCAACCUUCAGCCAAUUAGAAGCUAGCACCUGUGAGAACAAUGGAGAAGAGGAUGGGCAGCCAUACCAGCCAAGGGAGGUGGAUAUCAGAUAUUAGAUGGCAAGGAGAGUAGAGUAAGCAACUGCCAAGUUUCACUCGUCUCAGCUCUACCCAAAAUAGCCAGACCAAGCCCUCUUCUUCCCAGCAACACUAGCAUUCCCCUGUCCAAAACCAACAAAGAUCCAAGAACAAUAAGUGAAGAUGGUGACAUGAGAAAUCAUCAGUAGACUGAAGGGGACAGGCUAGAGCAAGAAGCUAGCCUA